Molecule: ribosomal RNA, 875 nt
Filed under: uncultured bacterium
Lineage: Bacteria
Description: bacterial SSU rRNA
Rfam family: Bacterial small subunit ribosomal RNA
Source: RNAcentral
AGAGCGAACGCUGGCGGCGUGCUUAACACAUGCAAGUCGAGUGCGCAGCUUUCUGUAGCAAUACAGGGAGUGGGCGCACGGCGCACGGGUGCGUAACACGUGGGCAACAUGCCCUUGGAUGGGGAAUAACCCCGCGAAAGCGGGGCUAAUACCGCAUAACAUUCCUGGAACCUUGGUUUCGGGACUCAAAGCCGUAAGGCGUCCGAGGAGUGGCCCGCGCACGAUUAGCUAGUUGGCGAGGUAACGGCUCACCAAGGCGAUGAUCGUUAGCCGGUCUGAGAGGAUGGCCGGCCACACUGGAACUGAGACACGGUCCAGACUCCUACGGGAGGCAGCAGUGGGGAAUAUUGCGCAAUGGGCGAAAGCCUGACGCAGCGACGCCGCGUGGGGGAUGAAGCUUCUCGGAGUGUAAACCCCUUUCGACCCGGACGAAUGCCCCGCAAGGGGAGUGACGGUACGGGUAUAAGAAGCCCCGGCUAACUACGUGCCAGCAGCCGCGGUAAUACGUAGGGGGCCAGCGUUGCUCGGAAUAACUGGGCGUAAAGGGUUCGUAGGCGGUGCGGAAAGUUGGGAGUGAAAUCCCUGGGCUUAACUCAGGGACUGCUUUCAAAACUUCCGUGCUCGAGUGCGAGAGAGGCAAGUGGAAUUGCAGGUGUAGCGGUGAAAUGCGUAGAUAUCUGCAGGAACACCCGUGGCGAAGGCGGCUUGCUGGAUCGCAACUGACGCUGAGGAACGAAAGCUAGGGGAGCAAACAGGAUUAGAUACCCUGGUAGUCCUAGCCCUAAACGAUCAGAACUUGGGGUGCAUCCCGUUGGGGGUGCGUCUCGUAGCUAACGCGUUAAGUUCUGCGCCUGGGGAGUACGGUCGCAAGACUG